AAUACAUUAAACGAGGAGUACACCAAAUAGAUUAUGAAAAUAAGGCAGUGACACAUUUUAGAAACUUGUGGAAAAUGACGAAGGAAUUUUUAGGAGACCCAAAGUUUUAACUUUAGAGCUCAAGUCAAUAACUCAACAUUAGAUGGUCAAAAUGCACAUGAGAUAUCAAAGAAAAAUAAUAGUAAUAAAUAAUAAUCAGUGAGUGUUAUAGAAAAAACCUCAGAUAAUCAUUUAUAAAAUCAAAAGUGCCGUAAACAACUCUUGUGGCUUAUAAAAGCUGCUGAUAUCUUUUAAAGCUUAUUAAAUUAGAAGUGACCAUGAACGAGUUUGUAGAAAAAUUUAAGAAAUCGGCUACAUACCAGCUGGCACCGGUAGGUACCCGCUGGGUCUUUUGUGCCCC
Molecule: long non-coding RNA, 400 nt
Organism: Diorhabda sublineata
Lineage: Eukaryota; Metazoa; Arthropoda; Insecta; Coleoptera; Chrysomelidae
Exons: 3
Source: RefSeq, a predicted model, not a curated record